RNAcentral lists this ribosomal RNA (465 nucleotides) under uncultured bacterium. RNAcentral describes it as "partial 16S ribosomal RNA". It matches the Rfam family "Bacterial small subunit ribosomal RNA", at positions 28 to 507 of the family's 1533-position model. The record is from RNAcentral.
GACGAACGCUGGCGGCGUGCUUAACACAUGCAAGUCGAACGGAAAGGCCCUGCUUGCAGGGUACUCGAGUGGCGAACGGGUGAGUAACACGUGGGUGAUCUGCCCUGCACUUCGGGAUAAGCCUGGGAAACUGGGUCUAAUACCGGAUAGGAGCCAUUUUUAGUGUGAUGGUUGGAAAGUUUUUUCGGUGUAGGAUGAGCUCGCGGCCUAUCAGCUUGUUGGUGGGGUAAUGGCCUACCAAGGCGGCGCCGGGUAGCCGGCCUGAGAGGGUGGACAGCCACAUUGGGACUGAGAUACGGCCCAGACUCCUACGGGAGGCAGCAGUGGGGAAUAUUGCACAAUGGGCGCAAGCCUGAUGCAGCGACGCCGCGUGGGGGAUGACGGCCUUCGGGUUGUAAACUCCUUUCGCUAGGGACGAAGCUUUUUGUGACGGUACCUAGAUAAGAAGCACCGGCUAACUACGUG